RNAcentral lists this ribosomal RNA (253 nucleotides) under uncultured bacterium. RNAcentral describes it as "partial 16S ribosomal RNA". It matches the Rfam family "Bacterial small subunit ribosomal RNA", at positions 524 to 776 of the family's 1533-position model. The record is from RNAcentral.
UACGUAGGGGGCAAGCGUUGUCCGGAAUCAUUGGGCGUAAAGAGCGUGUAGGCGGCCUGAUAAGUCCGCUGUGAAAUCUCGAGGCUCAACUUCGAGCUGUCGGUGGAAACUGGCUGGCUAGAGUCCGGAAGAGGAGAAUGGAAUUCCUGGUGUAGCGGUGAAAUGCGCAGAUAUCAGGAAGAACACCCGUGGCGAAGGCGGUUCUCUGGGACGGUACUGACGCUGAGACGCGAAAGCGUGGGGAGCGAACAGG